ACCCUCUCUUCUUUAGUCUCUGAAAUUCUUCUCUGUUUCUAGCGUUUCCAGGUACUAUUCUAUCUCUCUCUAGAUCGUCGGAUUUCUCAUGGAUUCCUAAUUCUUCUUGCAUAUAUCCUCGGAUCUAAACCUUUAAAUUUAGUAUAUGAGUUGGAACUGGUUAUCGAUUUGGAUCGUGGUGGACAGGAGCCCUAGCAUUAGAGUACUGCCGGAAUAAUUCUCUACGAAAGAUUGGGUUAGGACAUACAAGGGUUGAUGAGUUUAGGAUGAUGGAUUUCGCUUUGGGAGGCUAUUUAUGGCUUUUUGGUGCGAGAAAUUGCUGAAUUGUGUCGCUUUUGGGUCUGCUGGGCUGGAGGUUGAUGGUUAUUCGCAUGGACAAAGUUAAAAUCGUGGAAAAUGCAAGGCUUGAAAAGGCGAGGAAGAUAGGCACCUGUGAUUCUGCGGAGUCUUCAACUGAUUGUUUCUCCAAGGAUGGCCGCAAGAUCAAUGUAGGGGACUGUGCUCUUUUCAAGCCGCCUCAGGAUUCUCCACCAUUCAUUGGAGUUAUCCGUUGUUUGACAUUCACUAAAGAAAACAAUUUGCAGUUGGGUGUGAAUUGGCUUUAUCGACCUGGUGAAGUGAAGCUUGGCAAGGGUUUCCUUCUGGAUGCCGCCCCAAACGAAGUCUUUUAUUCUUUUCAUAAGGAUGAGAUCCCUGCUGCAUCGUUAUUGCAUCCAUGUAAAGUUGCCUUCCUUCCUAAAGGUGUUGAUCUUCCUUCAGGGAUAUCAUCAUUUGUUUGUCGUCGAGUUUAUGAUGUUGCCUACAAUCGUUUAUGGUGGCUAACAGAUAAAGACUAUAUCGAUGAGCAACAGGAAGAGGUAAACCAGCUUCUACAUAAAACACAGAUAGAGAUGCAUGCAAAAAUGCAGCCCAGUAGUCGUUCCCCCAAACCACUUACUAUCCCGAUUUCAGUUUUGCAAGUAAAACCUGGUUCAGAUAUGCAGGCUUCUCCUGCCACCCCUUCAAAUGUUAAGGGUAAGAAAAGAGAACCAUCUGAUCGGCGUUCAGAACCAAUGAAAAGAGAACGCACUUCAAAGACGGAAGAUCUUGAUCCAUGUCAGUUUAGUCCUGAAGGUUUCCUAAAACUGGAGAUCUCAAAGAUAACAGAAAAAGGUGGGCUUAUUGAUUUGAAAGGUGUUGGGAGACUUGUAGAACUCAUGCAACUUGAUAGAGCCGAAAAGAAGGUAGAUUUGACUGGCCGUUCACGUCUUGCUUCUGUUGUAGCAGCUACAGAUAAGUUUGAUUGUCUCAGUGAGUUUGUGCAUCUUAAGGGCUUGUCUGUAUUGGAUGAGUGGUUACAAGAUAUCCACAAAGGGAAGAUUGGUGAUGGUAGCCCAAAGGAUUCUGAUAAAUCAGUGGAGGAUCUUCUCUUAAUAUUACUUCGAGCUCUUGAUAAGUUACCAGUGAACCUUCAGGCACUGAAGAAGUUUCAUGUUGGAAAAUCAGUCAAUAAUCUAAGAACACAUAAAAACAUGGAGAUUCAAAAGAAGGCAAGAGGUUUAGUUGACACUUGGAAGAAGCGUGUUGAGGCUGAAAUGAAUGCUAUUGAUUCAAAGUCUACUUCACCUAAGACAGUAGCCAAAUCUCUUUCUUCUGCUGGUCCAACUAAAACACCUUUGUUACCUGCAACAGGCAAUGCCCUGUCUAGAUUAGCAGUUGGGAGCUCUCCUACCCCUUCAGCCACUUUAAGGGAGGAGCGAAAUAGCACUUCAAGUCAAUCUCACAAUAAUGAUCAAUCUUGUUCAAACGACAAUGGCAAGGCAAUCCUUCCAGUUGGCAAGGAAGAUGGGAGUUCUACUGCUGCAUCAACUAAUGCCAACAGGAUAGCUGGUGCUUCUAGGCACAGAAAGUUCAUCAAUUGUCUCCCUGGUCCUGCUGGAUCACACAAAAAUUCACUUCCCAAAACUGUGGCUGCAGAAAAAGAUGUGUCUAGUGUUGUUGAAAGUAAUCACAAAUUGACUGUUAAGAUCCCUAAUAGAGGCUGUAGUCCUGCACACAGUGUCAAUGAAGGAUCUAUUGAUGAUCCUUCCACCAUGAACAGUAGAGCUUCUUCUCCUAUCCUCCAUGAUCUGUCUGACCGUAAUUUAAAGGAAAAACCUAGCCUUGUUGGAGCUAGUGCUUCUGAUGCUAAUGCCGAAUCGUGGCAAAGUAAUGAUUUCAAAGAGGUGCUUGUUGGGUCUGAAGAAGGUGAUGCAUCACCAGCUGGAAUUCCUGAAGCAGGAAAUCGUAAUACUUGUGAUGAUGUUGUCAAGAGGUUGGAAAUUUCAAAAGCUGCAUGUUCAGAAGGUGUCAAGAACUCUGAAGCCACUGCAUCUGUAUCAGUUGGUGAUGAGGUUGGAAUGAAUUUGCUUGCGAGUGUUGCAGCUGGGGAAGUAUUAGCAAAAUCUGACUUGAUUUCAUCUAGUUUUUCCCCUCAGAGAUGUGCACCGACAGUUGUGUACUCUUCUUUGGAAAAACUGGAUAUUAUGAAUCCUUUGAAUGAGAAUCUUCUUUCUAAGGUUUCUAGUCAUGCUAUUCAUGAUGCAAUUGUUGAUAGUGAGAAACAGGUUACAGCGAGUACCAAUAGUUCCUGGCCUAAAGAUGAAUCAGAUCAUCUAGCUAAGCAUGCAACUAUAGAAUCUUCUGGUGGAACUGUUUCAUCCAAAUCAGAACAGACAUAUGGAGUAGCUUGCAUUGGGGAUCUUCAGCAAGGUGGAGAACCAUGCAAUGAGGUGGAUGAAAAAUCAGGCGAUGUCAUGGGUUCCCUUUCUCUUCCUGCUUCCUCUGUCAAUCCAGAGACAACAUUGAAUGGCGUGGAAAGUAAGAAUGCGGUGAAGGUGCCAAGAGUUGUAAGCAAUCAUGAUGGAAGACCAAAUGGAAGCAGUUCCUUGUUCGCUGAUGCUAUGGCCAAUAUCCCUUCCACUAAUGGUGUUUUGAAUGAAAAUGUUGAAGGCCCAUCAUCAGGUAUGUCGUUAGAAAAUGGUAACAAAGACUCUGGAAAUGAAGGGUUGUAUCUUAGUACCCACUCAGAUAAGAAGUUGCGCUUAGGCACUACAUGUCUUGAAGGCAUUGGACAGAGUGAUGAUACAGAUCUUCAUCUGAAUGAUAUUGAUAAUGCAGAUGGUGGAAGACCUCAUGAUACAGAAGGCAAGAAUGACAUUAGUGUGAGUGGAAAAGGAUCUAUUGAUCAAUGUGACAACAUUGCCGCAGUUAGUGAAAAGCAGAGUGCUACUGAACUAAAGAUGAGUGGGAGGGAAACAAUGAUUAAAAAUGACAGUGUUUGUCAGCAUUCUAGUGAAGUCAUUCAUCAAAUUGAACCUGUUGGUGUUCCUGCACAAGAGUCGGAGCCAAUUACUAGAUCAGAUGGUCCAAACGAUAAUGCAGGCAGAAUAGAUGGAGGUGCAUAUCCUAUUGGAGGUUUUUCUUUUUCUGCUACCAAGGUGUUGCAUUCAAAUACGAAAAUGAAGUUUGAUCUCAAUGAAGGCGUUAUUGGAGAUGAUGCAAAGAGUAUAGAGGUCACCAACUUGUCAGACCGUGAAGGGCCUCCCCAUUCAGUUACGUCGCUUACUUUUUCUGUUUCUCCUGUCAACAGAAGUCUUCCUGCUUCUAUUACUGUAGCUUCAGCUGCAAAAGGACCAUUUGUAUAUUCAGAUGAUCUCUUAAAGAGUAAAGGAGAACCUGGAUGGAGAGGGUCAGCUGCCACAAGCGCAUUUCGACCUGCUGAACCCAGGAAAGUUCCAGAGACGCCAUUUGGUUCAAUUAAUGACCCUCUUCCUGAUCGUACUGCUGAUAAACAUAGUCGACCUGUGUUGGAUAUCGAUCUUAAUGUGGCAGAUGAAAGAAUCCUUGAAGAGCUUUCUACUCAGAGCUCUGUGGAGGAAUUGGUUUCUAUAUCCAACAAAAACUUGAAUUCUGAUUUCGCCAAUAUUGAGCUGAUCAGCACCGUAUCAGCUCUUUCUUCCAGCAGGCUUGAUCUUGAUCUUAAUGAAGUUGAUGAAUCUGGUGUUGUGGGGAAAUGUCCUGGAAGCAGCAUUCGUAGAACCAAGGUUUCUCCCCCAGCCAAAUCUUCUUCAUCUGUUGGAUUUCUAAAUUUUAAUGUCAAGAGAGACUUUGAUUUAAAUGACGGACCAAUUGCUGAUGAACCAAAUGAUGGAGCAUUGUUUUUCAGUCAUCAUAGAAGGAGCAACAUAAUAUCCCAGCAACCAACUUCAGAAUUUAGAGUGGCUAAUAUGGAUGUGCGAAACUCAUCAUGGUUUUCACCAGGGAAUGCUUUCUCAUGUGCAUCCACUAAUUACAUGGAUCCAUCAUCUGGAAACAAGAUCUUUCCUAUUGCUAAUUCACAGUUAUUCAGUUAUCCUUCUGCAGUAUCAUCCCAGUAUCACAGACCUUUUGUUGGUCUUCCAGAUGGAAGCAAUAGUGCUGUUGUUGACAACAUGAAAUGGAUUAGACAGGGUCUCGAUCUUAAUUCAGGUCUGGACAGUUUGGCAAUUGAGGCCAAGGAUGAUGCUUCAUCUCUCACAUCCAGGCAACGAUUUGUUGCCAGUCCGCAUGCACUAGCAGUAGAGCAAGAAAGGAUGUAUCAACAGAUGACAACUAAUGCAUUGAAGAGGAAAGAUCCUGAAGGAGGAUGGGACAAUGAGAGCUUUCGGUACAAGCAAGCAUCUUGGCAGUAGUGAGGAGAUUUGGUUCACAUACCCAUUUAGUUGCUCAAGCCUGGUGAGAAGGAGAUAUCUUUGGAAGUGUACAAUAAUUGGCGCAGUCGUGAAGUAACCACCAAAUAAACCUUUGGAGAUGAAGAAGUUGAGGUAUUGGUGCUGUAAGAAAGAAAUUGGAGUGACACAAACAAUAGUCCUUCAAUUAAUUAAAAUAAAGCUCUUUGUGUGGCAGAGGCUAACCAUUGGAAUUCAUCCUCUGACUGAAUUUUACAAGCUGAAGGGUUGUAAGAGUUGUUUAGUAUUUAUACAGUUAGUUUCUGACCCUGGUAUCUUUUUCAUGGAUCCAAGCUUCUUUGAUCUCUUUCUUCAUUGUAUAUAUUAUCGAAAGUCAGACAUCCAUACAUGGAUUUGCAUGAUUAACACCAAAUAGAUGGUGUUCGCACAUGUCUAUCCCAUGAAUUACUUACUGUAUACUGUGCAGAUCGCACCCUAUCCCAUGUAAUUCUUCUUGACACUUGAUAUUUUCUUUUCGAUCACCUCAAAGGAAAAGUACUAAUUUUUUUGCUC
Impatiens glandulifera is the source of this 5240-nucleotide RNA transcript. RefSeq lists it as uncharacterized. Lineage: Eukaryota; Viridiplantae; Streptophyta; Magnoliopsida; Ericales; Balsaminaceae. The record is from RefSeq and is a predicted model, not a curated record. The transcript is spliced from 6 exons.